AUUGAACGCUGGCGGCAGGCCUAACACAUGCAAGUCGAGCGGAUGAAGGGAGCUUGCUCCUGGAUUCAGCGGCGGACGGGUGAGUAAUGCCUAGGAAUCUGCCUGGUAGUGGGGGAUAACGUCCGGAAACGGGCGCUAAUACCGCAUACGUCCUGAGGGAGAAAGGGGGGGAUCUUCGGACCUCAGGCUCUCAGAUGAGCCUAGGUCGGAUUAGCUAGUUGGUGGGGUAAAGGCCUACCAAGGCGACGAUCCGUAACUGGUCUGAGAGGAUGAUCAGUCACACUGGAACUGAGACACGGUCCAGACUCCUACGGGAGGCAGCAGUGGGGAAUAUUGGACAAUGGGCGAAAGCCUGAUCCAGCCAUGCCGCGUGUGUGAAGAAGGUCUUCGGAUUGUAAAGCACUUUAAGUUGGGAGGAAGGGCAGUAAGUUAAUACCUUGCUGUUUUGACGGUACCAACAGAAUAAGCACCGGCUAACUUCGUG
This 484-nucleotide ribosomal RNA is filed under the name uncultured bacterium. RNAcentral describes it as "partial 16S ribosomal RNA". It matches the Rfam family "Bacterial small subunit ribosomal RNA", at positions 30 to 507 of the family's 1533-position model. The record is from RNAcentral.